AAAAUAACUUUUCAUUCUGCUGUACAAUAUAUGCAUAUCUUGUGUAUUUCAGAUUUUUAAACUUUAUUAACAUACAUUUUUAACCUUUAUAAGUUCAGCUAAAACUGGAGUAUUUUUAAUGGUCAUCUUUCAGGUUCAGAUAAAAGUUGUAGCUGAAGGAAAAGUAUUGCUUUUAAUUUGUGGUAUAUAGAAUUCUAUUUUGCUGCUGGCUAUGCUGGCACGUCCCUAUAAUCCUAAGGGCUUGGAAGGCUGAGGCAGGAGGAUCUCUUCAAAGCCAGCCUGAGUAAAGCAAUGUACUAAGCCACUCAGUGAGACCCUGUCUCUAAAUAAAAUACAAAAUAGGGUUGGAGAUGUGGCUCAGUGGUUGAGUGCCCCUGAGUUCAGUUCCUGGUACCAUAAAAAGAAUUCUAUUUUGUUGUCCUUUUAGGGGAGGAAUUGAUGAAAGUAAUAAAUUUUUAGGUGGCAUUUUUUCCUUAUGUUUUUGCUAUUUCUCUUUUGAGGGCUAUGAAUAUGAGAAGAGGCAAUAAUAUCCUGACUUGAAAAAGCUUAGAACCCAUUGUUUCCAGAAGGGUUCAAUUGUACAAGACUGGAAUCUUGAGUGAUCCAGGAUCCUAGAGCAAUCAGUAUGGUGGUAAAAACAUUGAACCAUUUCAAAAAUUUUUCAGAAAUUUAGCUUCUAUUGUUAUUUUCAUUUAAAGCUAAGAAGAUUGAUGGUUAUCUUAUAUUAAUUGCACAUUUAUAAUAUAAAAGAAAGUUAUAAUCUUUCAAAAAUAUAUGGAACAACCGACGUAUUGGACAGUGCAGAUGCAGAAUAUUUCCAUCACUGUUGAAAGUGUCAUAUUUUACUCUUGUACAAAACUGCUUUAGUUGCUUUCUGUAUCUCUCUGGAGAUGAACCUAAAAGAGAUAAAUAUGUAUGUUUUCAGGAAAUGUGCAAGAUUGCUCAUUUAAUGUUUGACUCUUAUUUCUUUCAGAUGCGUAGAAAAAAUAACAACUGAUAAAGGUAAGACUUGGUCAUUUUUACCUCUCUUGUAUAUGUAUGAAUGACACUGUGUUAUAAUCUGGUAGAAAGUAGAAUAAGCUCCAGCCUAGUUCAAAAAAAUUCCCAUAUAAAAGGAACUUUUGUUCAGUAAAACAUUAGUGAAGUUGAUAGAGCCUAUUUAGAUGUCAUCAAUCAGAUUUAGAUAGUAAAAUAUCUUCACAGUUUUUAGAAACUCAACAAUGAGAACCAUAAUUAUUAUUAUUAUUAUUAUUAUUAUUUUAGUUGUAGGUGCACAGAAUGCCUUUAUUUGUUUAGUUUUUUAUGCAGUGCUAAGGAUAGAACCCAGUGCCUCACACAUGCUAGGCAAGCGCUCUGCCACUGAGCUACAGCUCCAGCCCAGGAACCAUAAUUUAAUGACAGUUUAUUAUAAUUUUUAAAGCUAUUUAGCCUUUUUUAAAUGAAGUAAUGAAGAAAGAAGUAAUACAUAGUAUAUAGAAUAAAGUGUAGGCAGUGUUUAUACUGGUAGAGACUAAAAUUUUGAUUGCAGUUUGAAGAAUACAGAAAGAAAAUGUUCUAAGAUUUCAGCCUGGUGAAUAAUUAAAUGAAGUUAUUAGGUCAUUUCUAUGUAAUGUUUUAGCCAAUUAAAUGUUUAUUGAAUCUAGUUUUCUGUUUGUCUGAUUUAUGAAGGAAAGCUGAUGUUCACUUUUUUCUUUCUAAAAUACUUUUAUUUAAGAGAUUUUAUUCUGGCUUUGUAGAUUGAAUUAUUAUAAUUACUGCCACUUGAUUGAGCCAGUAGCCAAUUGAUUACAUUUUUCUUUUCUAGGUAUUGGUUGUGUUGUUUAAUGUUAAGCUCAAAUAUGUGGGAUCCUCCUUAAAACUGGAACAGUAUACUCAAGUAUUUCAAUUAUUGUAUAUGCUUUUGACUCAGUACUAACAGCCAGUUUCCAAUACCUGGAGUCUACUUAAUAGUUGAGAGUUGACCAGUGAUUUUAUUUUUGUUUUUCUAUGUGAUAUUGGGGAUUAAACCCAGAGAUACUUUUACACUGAGCUACACACCCAGCACAUUUUAUUUUUUAUUUUGAGACAGUCUUGCUAAGUUGCUAAGGCUGAUUUCAAAUUUGGGAUACUCCUGGUAGAAAGUAGAAUAAUCUCCUGAGUACCUGGGAUUAUAGGUAUGUGUCAUGAUACCUAGCUACCAGUUACUUUUUUAAGGUCCACUUACAGCCUGCUUAUUUAUUUAUUUAUUUCCAUACAUAUGUGUGUGUGUGUUCAGGCAAGAAAUAUUACAUACUAGGCAAAGUUUUGUGUAGAAAGCUUUGCAUGAUUAUUUUGUCUGCUGAGUUAAAUGAAAACAGUAGUUAUAUCUGCCUAGAACGGAAGGUCUUAUGUUCAGAGACAUUUUAUAGAUUUUUAUGAUGUAAAAAAAUAUAUAUAUAUGAGGAGACAGACCAUAAUCAAGUACCAGAGCAGUUCUUAUUUAAAAAAAACAACCUGCCUUCAUCAGAGCUAUAGUUACUUUAUGUGUCUAAAGAAAUUACUUUGGGUUGACUUGAGAACAAUUUAUAUAGACAUUUUGAACCCCUUUUUGGGGGUAAAUGAUCUUUGUGUAGAUAAUAUUAAACCAGAAGUUGGCAUGCUAUUUAGUUUUGCAGCUAUGGAAAGAUUAAAACUUUAUUCUUAGUAAUUCAGUCUCAAAAUCUCAUCUCACUUUAAUCCACUAGUUAAAUGAUCUGAGCCUGUGUACUCUCAAACUCCCAUCUCCAUGUCUUCAUUAGUUCACAUGUUAAGAGUAGCUGCUCAACCCUAAGACCCGUAUCUAACAUUACAGGAGAGAUUAGUGAAAAAGUCAGGAAGAUUCUAGUACUCACUUUUUCCUGUACCAUUUGAUAUUUACAGUUCACCUCAGCUCUUUCUUCUAUGUCAAAAAGUUACCUGUAGACCCUGGCAGAGUCUUCAUAUUCGGUCUGCUGAAUUUUUAUUCAUUUGUAUUUCAAAGAAACUUUUUGAAAACGUUUUGUUAUUUUUUAGAAGUUAUGACUCUCUUUUAUUAAUAUUAUGAUAUUUUUAUGAUUGUUUUUACUCAUUUGCUCCAAACAACCAGAAAGUUAUGCUUUCCUUGAAUUGAAAAGAAGAACCUUUGACGUGUUUCAACAAGUAAACAGUAUUGUACAAAGAAAGCAGCUUUCCAUGAUUUUUAAGUUGCAAAGUGCUACAUUCAUUUUUCAAACUGAAGAAAUAAUAAAGAAGCAUUAUCAUGAAUUUCUGUUCCUACUACAUUUAUUUAACCUCGAUAGGUGUAUGUAAAACAAAUAGAAAGGUAUUUUGCUAAAUAAUGGUUGUUAAAUUUAUUCAGAAAGUGUAAGUGAAAUUAAAUCAAAGCAACCAAUACUGUACUCACAGUAAUAAAGUAAAAGGGUGGCUUAUCUAAAUGUUUAUCUAAACUUAUUGGCACCCCUGCUUUACUCAUAAUUUUAAUUUCUUUUUAAAAACUAUACAUAAAACCUAAUUUUUUCUCCUGUCUUUUGGGUUCUUAGUGAAUAAUAGUUAAAAUUGCUUAAGAUCCAACAUAAAAAUUGGGCAGCGUGAUGCUUUAAUGUUUACUAAUGGAUGUUUUAGGUGUUUCCUGGAAUAAUUGUCAAUACUACAGAGUUAAGUAAAUAUGGGCAGUGUUUUGCGUUAUUAAUGUUAGAUAGAAUAUACUGUAGGUUUUCUUAGGAAUUUUUUUCUUUUUUAGUACUAUGCAGUAUAAAUACCAAAAUGUACAGCAAUUACCUAAUUUAUUUUACUAUGAAACCCUCUCUAAAGAAUAUCUAAUAAAAUCAGUUUAUGGAAGACAUUUUGGGAUAGUUGUUGCUUGAAAAUUUUACUGUAUUACACUUUGAGACUCACCUUUUAUUCAGAAUAGUUCUAUUUUCAGUUACUCUUGUUACAGAGAGGUGACCUUUGACAAAGAUUAGUCAUUAGAUGAAUUCAGAACAUCUGGAAAGUAGAUUAUUUAGGACAGUUUAACUCUUAACUCUUUGUGGCACCUAGUUUAUUAUACUCAGCAAAUAUGUGUAAUUAUUACCAAAAUAUUAGCUUGUUUUUCUUUUUAUUCCCUCUGCCUUAUAUCAUAUCCUCAGAUAUUUGUUUUAGAUUAAUUUAGUCUAAUUUAUAGAUUAUGAUCUCUCCAAUCCCUGCCCCUAUGACCACCGCCACCCUUCCUCCUCCUGGGGUUUGAACCAUGGGGCUCUUUACCACUGAGCUACAUCCUCAUCCCUUUUCAUUUUUUAUUUCGAUCAGUCUCCCUAAGUUGCCAAAGCCAGCUUUGAACUUGGAUCCUCCCACCUUAGCCUCCCAAAUAGCUAGGAUCAUAGAGAUUCACCAGCAUGCCUGGCUACUUGAUUUUUAAAAAAAA
This 4378-nucleotide long non-coding RNA is filed under the name Marmota monax (woodchuck). Lineage: Eukaryota; Metazoa; Chordata; Mammalia; Rodentia; Sciuridae. The record is from RNAcentral.